ACGCACGCUGGCGGCGUGCUUAACACCUGCAAGUCGAACGCUGAAGACCUGGCUUUUGUUGGGUUGGAUGAGUGGCGAACGGGUGAGUAACACGUGAGUAACCUGCCCUCUUCUUUGGGAUAACGCCCGGAAACGGGUGCUAAUACUGGAUAUUCACUGAUCUUCGCAUGGGGGUUGGUGGAAAGGUUUGUUCUGGUGGGGGAUGGGCUCGCGGCCUAUCAGCUUGUUGGUGGGGUGAUGGCCUACCAAGGCUUUGACGGGUAGCCGGCCUGAGAGGGUGACCGGUCACAUUGGGACUGAGAUACGGCCCAGACUCCUACGGGAGGCAGCAGUGGGGAAUAUUGCACAAUGGGCGAAAGCCUGAUGCAGCGACGCCGCGUGAGGGAUGGAGGCCUUCGGGUUGUAAACCUCUUUCGCUCAUGGUCAAGCCGCAACUGUGGGUUGUGGUGAGGGUAGUGGGUAAAGAAGCGCCGGCUAACUACGUG
This 485-nucleotide ribosomal RNA is filed under the name uncultured bacterium. RNAcentral describes it as "partial 16S ribosomal RNA". It matches the Rfam family "Bacterial small subunit ribosomal RNA", at positions 29 to 507 of the family's 1533-position model. The record is from RNAcentral.